AAUUUUGGGCAAUGGGCGAAAGCCUGGCCCAGCAACGCCGCGUGAGGGAUGAAGUAUUUCGGUAUGUAAACCUCGAAAGAAUGGGAAGAAUAAAUGACGGUACCAUUUAUAAGCUCCGGCUAACUACGUGCCAGCAGCCGCGGCAAUACGUAGGGAGCAAGCGCUGUUCGGAUUUACUGGGCGUAAAGGGCGCGUAGGCGGCGCGGUAAGUCACUUGUGAAAUCUCUGAGCUUAACUCAGAACGGCCAAGUGAUACUGCUGUGCUAGAGUGCGGAAGAGGCAACCGGAAUUCUUGGUGUAGCGGUGAAAUGCGUAGAUAUCAAGAGGAACACCUGAGGCGAAGGCGGGUUGCUGGGCCGACACUGACGCUGAUGCGCGAAAGCCAGGGGAGCAAACG
This 397-nucleotide ribosomal RNA is filed under the name uncultured bacterium. Its description in RNAcentral is "bacterial SSU rRNA". It matches the Rfam family "Bacterial small subunit ribosomal RNA", at positions 360 to 774 of the family's 1533-position model. The record is from RNAcentral.